UACGGGGGGGGCAAGCGUUGUUCGGAAUUACUGGGCGUAAAGGGCGCGUAGGCGGCCUUCUAAGUCGAACGUGAAAUCCCUGGGCUCAACCCAGGAACUGCGUCCGAUACUGGAAGGCUUGAAUCCGGGAGAGGGAUGCGGAAUUCCAGGUGUAGCGGUGAAAUGCGUAGAUAUCUGGAGGAACACCGGUGGCGAAGGCGGCAUCCUGGGCCGGUAUUGACGCUGAGGCGCGAAAGCCAGGGGAGCAAACGGG
RNAcentral lists this ribosomal RNA (253 nucleotides) under uncultured bacterium. Its description in RNAcentral is "partial 16S ribosomal RNA". It matches the Rfam family "Bacterial small subunit ribosomal RNA", at positions 524 to 776 of the family's 1533-position model. The record is from RNAcentral.